This 267-nucleotide ribosomal RNA is filed under the name uncultured bacterium. Its description in RNAcentral is "partial 16S ribosomal RNA". It matches the Rfam family "Bacterial small subunit ribosomal RNA", at positions 793 to 1055 of the family's 1533-position model. The record is from RNAcentral.
GUCCACGCCGUAAACGAUGGGUGCUAGCCGUUGGGCAGCAUGCUGUUCGGUGGCGCAGCUAACGCAUUAAGCACCCCGCCUGGGGAGUACGAUCGCAAGAUUAAAACUCAAAGGAAUUGACGGGGGCCCCGCACAAGCGGUGGAGCAUGUGGUUUAAUUCGAAGCAACGCGAAGAACCUUACCAGGCCUUGACAUCCCGGUCGCGGCCUCUCGAAAGAGGGGCCUUCAGUUCGGCUGGACCGGUGACAGGUGCUGCAUGGCUGUCGU